Molecule: ribosomal RNA, 460 nt
Filed under: uncultured bacterium
Lineage: Bacteria
Description: partial 16S ribosomal RNA
Rfam family: Bacterial small subunit ribosomal RNA
Source: RNAcentral
CCUACGGGAGGCAGCAGUGAGGAAUAUUGGUCAAUGGCCGGAAGGCUGAACCAGCCAUGCCGCGUGAAGGUCAGUGCCCUAUGGGCGUUAAACUUCUUUUGUGCGGGAGCAAUAAUGGUCACGUGUGGCCAGACGAGAGUACCGUACGAAUAAGCAUCGGCUAACUCCGUGCCAGCAGCCGCGGUAAUACGGGGGAUGCAAGCGUUAUCCGGAUUUAUUGGGUUUAAGGGGUGCGUAGGCUGUGAGGUACGUCAGCGGGGAAAUGCCCCCGCUCAACGGGGUGAAGUGCCAUUGAUACUGCCUUGCUGGAAUGCGGAUGCCGUGGGAGGAAUGUGUGGUGUAGCGGUGAAAUGCAUAGAUAUCACACAGAACACCGAUUGCGAAGGCAUCUCACGAAUCCGCGAUUGACGCUGAUGCACGAAAGCGUGGGUAUCAAACAGGAUUAGAUACCCGAGUAGUC